UUUAGAGACGGGGUCUUGCUCU
RNAcentral lists this microRNA (22 nucleotides) under Pan troglodytes (chimpanzee). RNAcentral's name for it is "ptr-miR-1303". The record is from miRBase by way of RNAcentral. RNAcentral also lists the same sequence under 1 other name. Lineage: Eukaryota; Metazoa; Chordata; Mammalia; Primates; Hominidae.